UUCCGUAGGUGAACCUGCGGAGGGAUCAUUACCGAGUUUUCAACUCCCAAACCCUUUUGUGAACAUACCUAUCGUUGCUUCGGCGGACUCGCCCCAGCGUCCGGCCGGCCCCGCGCCGGCCGCGGCCUGGAUCCAGGCGGCCGCCGGAGACCUCCAAACUCUGUAUUCUCAGUAUCUUCUGAAUCCGCCGCAAGGCAAAACAAAUGAAUCAAAACUUUCAACAACGGAUCUCUUGGUUCUGGCAUCGAUGAAGAACGCAGCGAAAUGCGAUAAGUAAUGUGAAUUGCAGAAUUCAGUGAAUCAUCGAAUCUUUGAACGCACAUUGCGCCCGCCAGCAUUCUGGCGGGCAUGCCUGUUCGAGCGUCAUUUCAACCCUCGACUUCCCUUUGGGGAAAUCGGCGUUGGGGACCGGCCGUAUACCGCCGGCCCCGAAAUGAAGUGGCGGCCCGUCCGCGGCGACCUCUGCGUAGUAAUUCAACUCGCACCGGAACCCCGACGUGGCCACGCCGUAAAACCCCCGACUUCUGAACGUGACCUCGAUCAGGAGAUACCAGCC
This 556-nucleotide ribosomal RNA is filed under the name Cordyceps farinosa. RNAcentral describes it as "eukaryotic LSU rRNA". The stretch from base 213 to 366 matches the Rfam family "5.8S ribosomal RNA". The record is from RNAcentral. Lineage: Eukaryota; Fungi; Ascomycota; Sordariomycetes; Hypocreales; Cordycipitaceae.